GUCCCCAUCGUCUAGAGGCCUAGGACAUCGCCCUUUCACGGCGGUAACAGGGGUUCGAAUCCCCUUGGGGAUG
Cardiobacterium valvarum F0432 is the source of this 73-nucleotide non-coding RNA. Lineage: Bacteria; Pseudomonadati; Pseudomonadota; Gammaproteobacteria; Cardiobacteriales; Cardiobacteriaceae. The record is from Rfam.